UAAUGGCGCAAUUAUACACAUAAAAACUAUUUCGUAUUUAAUUCAGCAUCUCCUCUUACAUUCAGAAGCGGGAUAAAGUUAAGUACACGCCUAGUUAUAAUUUUUAAUCAAAUUUAUAGAUAAUUAAAAUUGGUCAGAUUUCUUUGUAAAGCAAGCUUCAUGUUGAUUAUUUUGUAAUAGGCACCAAAUUUGUAACCGUGUUUAUUUUUAGUAAAGGAUAAAAAAAAAACGUGUUAGACUUAAAGACUAAGGUAAUGUAACGCAAUAUUUUUCUGCGAGAUUUCAGAACAAUGGAUGAACCGCCUGGUAACAAAAGUCGGGACCUGUAUCGACCGAGGCUCCUGACUCCUGGCACCAAGGUGACACGCAGUGUCACCUGAAGUCCAGGCUGCGAUCAGCCAGGUCGUGAGCGCAUCCUUUUACUGGAAAGGGAGUUUCAACGCGAGCAAGAACGGCUCGCGCUCGCUUUGCAAGAACUUCGCCCCACGCCGAUGCGAUUGCCGGGGUGAGCAGCAUGCUGAGCGUCGGCCUGAGCCGCAUGCGGAUCGUCGGGGCGGGCUGCAUGCUGGGCGUCGGCCUGAGUCACGUGCGGAUCGCCGGGCUGGGCUGCGUGCGGAGCGUCGGCCUGGGCUGCGUGCUGGGCAUCGGCCUAAACUGCAUGCGGAGCGGCACGCGCAGCGGCAGGGCGGCGCGGGACGGUUAAGGUGAUGAUGGCCGAUUGUUACAAUUGCCGUGCAGAGAUCGCUGAUGGCUGUAUAGCUAUGGUGUGCUGUGCCGAUGAUAAAAGCUGAGCUGUGCUGUGCUGAUAGAAUUUAAGCUGAGCUGAGCUGUUAUUUAUUAUUACGCAAUUAUUUUAUUUAACAAUCAAAAUAAUACUCCUUGGUGGAAUUUAGUUGGUAUAAUCUAGCAAGGAGGCUCAAUAUUAAAUUGAUACAGGCAUAAUAGAAACUUGUUACGUUCGGUACAUUUUUUAGUCUGUGGUUUUAAAAAGAAAAGGGUGAAUUCUUUGUUGUUAGUUUUUGAUGGCGGCAAUUGUAAAACUUGUUAAAUAAAUAAUGGCGCAAUUAUACACAUAAAAACUA
This is a long non-coding RNA of Pectinophora gossypiella (pink bollworm), 1082 nucleotides long. RefSeq lists it as uncharacterized. The record is from RefSeq and is a predicted model, not a curated record. The transcript is spliced from 2 exons. Lineage: Eukaryota; Metazoa; Arthropoda; Insecta; Lepidoptera; Gelechiidae.